CUGUAAGCCUGUGAAGGUGGCCUGUGAGGGUUGCUGGAGGUAUCAGAAGUGCGAAUGCUGACAUAAGUAACGAUAAAGCGGGUGAAAAGCCCGCUCGCCGGAAGACCAAGGGUUCCUGUCCAACGUUAAUCGGGGCAGGGUGAGUCGACCCCUAAGGCGAGGCCGAAAGGCGUAGUCGAUGGGAAACGGGUUAAUAUUCCCGUACUUGGUGUUACUGCGAAGGGGGGACGGAGAAGGCUAUGUUGGCCGGGCGACGGUUGUCCCGGUUUAAGCGUGUAGGUGUGUGUUCCAGGUAAAUCCGGUUCACUUUAACACUGAGGCGUGAUGACGAGGCACUACGGUGCUGAAGCAACAAAUGCCCUGCUUCCAGGAAAAGCCUCUAAGCAUCAGGUAACAUCAAAUCGUACCCCAAACCGACACAGGUGGUCAGGUAGAGAAUACCAAGGCGCUUGAGAGAACUCGGGUGAAGGAACUAGGCAAAAUGGUGCCGUAACUUCGGGAGAAGGCACGCUGACAUGUAGGUGAAGUGA
This 530-nucleotide ribosomal RNA is filed under the name Salmonella enterica. RNAcentral describes it as "partial 23S ribosomal RNA". It matches the Rfam family "Bacterial large subunit ribosomal RNA", at positions 1241 to 1768 of the family's 2925-position model. Lineage: Bacteria; Pseudomonadati; Pseudomonadota; Gammaproteobacteria; Enterobacterales; Enterobacteriaceae. The record is from RNAcentral.